UGGCCUACGGGAGGCAGCAGUGGGGGAUAUUGCACAAUGGGGGAAACCCUGAUGCAGCAACGCCGCGUGAGUGAAGAAGGUCUUCGGAUUGUAAAGCUCUGUUCUUGGUGAAGAUAAUGACGGUAGCCAAGGAGAAAGCUCCGGCUAACUACGUGCCAGCAGCCGCGGUAAUACGUAGGGGGCAAGCGUUAUCCGGAUUCACUGGGCGUAAAGGGAGCGCAGGCGGCAUGGCAAGUCUGAUGUGAAAACCCGGGGCCCAACCCCGGGAGUGCAUUGGAAACUGCCAGGCUGGAGUGUCGGAGGGG
Molecule: ribosomal RNA, 305 nt
Filed under: uncultured bacterium
Lineage: Bacteria
Description: bacterial SSU rRNA
Rfam family: Bacterial small subunit ribosomal RNA
Source: RNAcentral